This 573-nucleotide ribosomal RNA is filed under the name Durinskia baltica. Its description in RNAcentral is "partial Bacterial large subunit ribosomal RNA". It matches the Rfam family "Bacterial large subunit ribosomal RNA", at positions 1277 to 1959 of the family's 2925-position model. The record is from RNAcentral. Lineage: Eukaryota; Dinophyceae; Peridiniales; Kryptoperidiniaceae.
AGGUAUCAGAAGUGCGAAUGCUGACAUGAGUAACGACAAUGCGGGUGAAAAACCCGCACGCCGGAAGACCAAGGGUUCCUGCGCAACGCUAAUCGGCGCAGGGUUAGCCGGCCCCUAAGACGAGCCCGAAGGGGGUAGUCGAUGGGAACACGGUUAAUAUUCCGUGACCUGGUGGAAUGUGACGGAUCUCGUGUGUUGUCUGAUCUUAUUGGAUUGAUCAGGCUUCGAAGAGGUUCCAGGAAAUAGCUCCACCAUAUAGACCGUACCCGAAACCGACACAGGUGGUCAGGUAGAGUAUACCAAGGCGCUUGAGAGAAGUAUCCUGAAGGAACUCGGCAAAUUGCCUCCGUACCUUCGGAAGAAGGAGGCCCCAUAUCGACGCAAGUCUUUGUGGGGGGCACAGGCCAGGGGGUAGCGACUGUUUAGCAAAAACACAGCACUCUGCUAAGUCGGCUUCAAGACGACGUAUAGGGUGUGACGCCUGCCCGGUGCUCGAAGGUUAAGAGGAGGAGUGCAAGCUCCGAAUUGAAGCCCGAGUAAACGGCGGCCGUAACAAUAACGGUCCUAAGGUAG